GUCAAGUGGGAUAAUACAUCUUCAACCUGUUCUUCAUUCUAAUGACAAAUCAAGUAUGAUGCUGGUUUUUGGAAGUUCUUCACCUCCCUAAUUAUAAUUGAGAACUUAUUUGUGAAGAGAUGGGAGGCGGGAAAGAAUGCAACAAUCACCGAAGCGUGCAAGGAAAAAUAAAAACAAAGAUAACCUGUAAAAAUAUAGCAAAUCUUCACUAUGCAUAUUACAACACUUUGGAACCAACAGUACCGGUCUCCUGAACAGAACUGCUGUAAUAAAGCUUCAUAUUCACCAGG
Gorilla gorilla gorilla (western lowland gorilla) is the source of this 290-nucleotide long non-coding RNA. RefSeq lists it as uncharacterized. NCBI's taxonomy places the organism in Eukaryota, Metazoa, Chordata, Mammalia, Primates, Hominidae. The record is from RefSeq and is a predicted model, not a curated record. The transcript has 2 exons.